UACGUAGGUGGCGAGCGUUGUCCGGAUUUACUGGGUUUAAAGGGAGCGUAGGCGGGUUGUUAAGUCAGUUGUGAAAGUUUGCGGCUCAACCGUAAAAUUGCAGUUGAUACUGGCAUCCUUGAGUACAGUAGAGGUAGGCGGAAUUCGUGGUUUAGCGGUGAAAUGCUUAGAUAUCACGAAGAACUCCGAUUGCGAAGGCAGCCUGCUGGACUGUAACUGACGCUGAUGCUCGAAAGUGUGGGUAUCAAACAGG
Molecule: ribosomal RNA, 253 nt
Filed under: uncultured bacterium
Lineage: Bacteria
Description: partial 16S ribosomal RNA
Rfam family: Bacterial small subunit ribosomal RNA
Source: RNAcentral